AGAGUUUGAUCCUGGCUCAGGAUGAACGCUAGCGGCAGGCCUGACACAUGCAAGUCGAACGGUAAUCCCGUGCUUCGGCGCGGGAACGAGUGGCGAAUGGGUGAGUAACGCGUAUACAACCUUCCGGCGACAGGGGGAUAGCCCGGGGAAACCUGGAUUAACCCCCCAUAAAGUCUCGAGGUAGCAUUAUUUUGAGAUAAAAACACGAGUGGUUGCCGAUGGGUAUACGUCCUAUUAGCCAGUUGGUGGGGUAACGGCCCACCAAGGCAGCGAUAGGUAGGGGUCCUGAGAGGGAGGUCCCCCACACUGGUACUGAGACACGGACCAGACUCCUACGGGAGGCAGCAGUGAGGAAUAUUGGACAAUGGGCGGGAGCCUGAUCCAGCCAUGCCGCGUGCAGGAAGACGGCCUUACGGGUUGUAAACUGCUUUUACAGGGGAAGAACACCCUUCUUGCGAGGGGGGAUGCCGGUACCCUGCGAACAAGGAUCGGCUAACUCCGUGCCAGCAGCCGCGGUAAUACGGAGGAUCCAAGCGUUAUCCGGAAUCAUUGGGUUUAAAGGGUCCGCAGGCGGGCAUUUAAGUCAGUGGUGAAAGUCAUCUGCUCAACGGGUGAACUGCCAUUGAAACUGGAUGUCUUGAGUAGCCGGGAAGUGGUCGGAAUGUGCAGUGUAGCGGUGAAAUGCAUAGAUAUUGCACAGAACACCGAUAGCGAAGGCAGGCCACUACCGGUUUACUGACGCUGAUGGACGAAAGCGUGGUCAGCGAACAGGAUUAGAUACCCUGGUAGUCCACGCCGUAAACGCUGGUCACUAGCUGUCCGUCUUGCUUACGGGCGAGAUGGGUGGUCAAGCGAAAGUGAUAAGUGACCCACCUGGGGAUUACGUUCGCAAGAAUGAAACUCAAAGGAAUUGACGGGGGCCCGCACAAGCGGUGGAGCAUGUGGUUUAAUUCGAUGAUACGCGAGGAACCUUACCAGGGCUUAAAUGCCUAUUGACGAUACCGGGAAACCGGUAUUUUCUUCGGACAAUUUGCAAGGUGCUGCAUGGCUGUCGUCAGCUCGUGCCGUGAGGUGUCAGGUUAAGUCCUAUAACGAGCGCAACCCCUGUUGUUAGUUGCCAAUCUCUUAUGAGGGGGACUCUAGCAAUACUGCCGGUGCAAACCGCGAGGAAGGUGGGGACGACGUCAAGUCAUCACGGCCCUUACGUCCUGGGCUACACACGUGCUACAAUGGUGGGGACAGAGGGAAGCCACUGCGCGAGCAGGCGCGGAUCUUGAAACCCCAUCCCAGUUCGGAUCGCACUCUGCAACCCGAGUGCGUGAAGCUGGAAUCGCUAGUAAUCGCACAUCAGCCAUGGUGCGGUGAAUACGUUCCCGGGCCUUGUACACACCGCCCGUCAAGCCAUGGAAGCCGGGGGUACCUGAAGUCCGCUACCGCGAGGGGCGGCCUAGGGUAAGACCGGUAACUGGGGCUAAGUCGUAACAAGGUAACCA
RNAcentral lists this ribosomal RNA (1493 nucleotides) under uncultured Mesonia sp. RNAcentral describes it as "bacterial SSU rRNA". It matches the Rfam family "Bacterial small subunit ribosomal RNA". The record is from RNAcentral. Lineage: Bacteria; Pseudomonadati; Bacteroidota; Flavobacteriia; Flavobacteriales; Flavobacteriaceae.